AUCGUUUGAUCCUGGCUCCUUCUUCACGCUGGCGGCGUGCCUAAUACAUGCAAGUCGCUCUCACAGAUAAGGAGCUUGCUCCUUUGACGUUAGCGGCGGACGGGUGAGUAACACGUGGGUAACCUACCUAUAAGACUGGGAUAACUUCGGGAAACCUUCGCUAAUACCGGAUAACAUUUGGAACCGCAUGGUUCUAAAGUGAAAGAUGGUUUUGCUAUCACUUAUAGAUGGACCCGCGCCGUAUUAGCUAGUUGGUAAGGUAACGGCUUACCAAGGCGACGAUACGUAGCCGACCUGAGAGGGUGAUCGGCCACACUGGAACUGAGACACGGUCCAGACUCCUACGGGAGGCAGCAGUAGGGAAUCUUCCGCAAUGGGCGAAAGCCUGACGGAGCAACGCCGCGUGAGUGAUGAAGGGUUUCGGCUCGUAAAACUCUGUUAUUAGGGAAGAACAAAUGUGUAAGUAACUGUGCACAUCUUGACGGUACCUAAUCAGAAAGCCACGGCUAACUACGUGCCAGCAGCAGCGGUAAUAC
RNAcentral lists this ribosomal RNA (536 nucleotides) under uncultured bacterium. RNAcentral's name for it is "bacterial SSU rRNA". It matches the Rfam family "Bacterial small subunit ribosomal RNA", at positions 1 to 526 of the family's 1533-position model. The record is from RNAcentral.